GAUGAACGCUAGCUACAGGCUUAACACAUGCAAGUCGAGGGGCAGCAUGGUCUUAGCUUGCUAAGGCCGAUGGCGACCGGCGCACGGGUGAGUAACACGUAUCCAACCUGCCGUCUACUCUUGGACAGCCUUCUGAAAGGAAGAUUAAUACAAGAUGGCAUCAUGAGUUCACAUGUUCACAUGAUUAAAGGUAUUCCGGUAGACGAUGGGGAUGCGUUCCAUUAGAUAGUAGGCGGGGUAACGGCCCACCUAGUCUUCGAUGGAUAGGGGUUCUGAGAGGAAGGUCCCCCACAUUGGACUGAGACACGGACCAA
Molecule: ribosomal RNA, 314 nt
Filed under: uncultured bacterium
Lineage: Bacteria
Description: bacterial SSU rRNA
Rfam family: Bacterial small subunit ribosomal RNA
Source: RNAcentral